RNAcentral lists this ribosomal RNA (207 nucleotides) under uncultured bacterium. Its description in RNAcentral is "partial 16S ribosomal RNA". It matches the Rfam family "Bacterial small subunit ribosomal RNA", at positions 568 to 774 of the family's 1533-position model. The record is from RNAcentral.
CAUGCAGGCGGUUAUACAAGUAGGAUGUGAAAGCCUGGGGCUCAACCUCAGAACUGCAUUCUAAACUGUGUGACUAGAGUAUUGCAGGGGGAGACGGAAUUUCAGGUGUAGCGGUGGAAUGCGUAGAUAUCUGAAAGAACACCAAGGGCGAAGGCAGUCUCCUGGGCAAAUACUGACGCUCAUAUGCGAAAGCGUGGGUAGCAAACA